Molecule: ribosomal RNA, 564 nt
Filed under: Klebsiella pneumoniae
Lineage: Bacteria; Pseudomonadati; Pseudomonadota; Gammaproteobacteria; Enterobacterales; Enterobacteriaceae
Description: bacterial SSU rRNA
Rfam family: Bacterial small subunit ribosomal RNA
Source: RNAcentral
GGAAUUACUGGGCGUAAAGCGCACGCAGGCGGUCUGUCAAGUCGGAUGUGAAAUCCCCGGGCUCAACCUGGGAACUGCAUUCGAAACUGGCAGGCUAGAGUCUUGUAGAGGGGGGUAGAAUUCCAGGUGUAGCGGUGAAAUGCGUAGAGAUCUGGAGGAAUACCGGUGGCGAAGGCGGCCCCCUGGACAAAGACUGACGCUCAGGUGCGAAAGCGUGGGGAGCAAACAGGAUUAGAUACCCUGGUAGUCCACGCCGUAAACGAUGUCGAUUUGGAGGUUGUGCCCUUGAGGCGUGGCUUCCGGAGCUAACGCGUUAAAUCGACCGCCUGGGGAGUACGGCCGCAAGGUUAAAACUCAAAUGAAUUGACGGGGGCCCGCACAAGCGGUGGAGCAUGUGGUUUAAUUCGAUGCAACGCGAAGAACCUUACCUGGUCUUGACAUCCACAGAACUUUCCAGAGAUGGAUUGGUGCCUUCGGGAACUGUGAGACAGGUGCUGCAUGGCUGUCGUCAGCUCGUGUUGUGAAAUGUUGGGUUAAGUCCCGCAACGAGCGCAACCCUUAUCC